This is a non-coding RNA of Cyanistes caeruleus (blue tit), 6158 nucleotides long. NCBI's taxonomy places the organism in Eukaryota, Metazoa, Chordata, Aves, Passeriformes, Paridae. The record is from RefSeq and is a predicted model, not a curated record.
UUGGGGAGCAGCCUGGGAUUUGGGGAGCAGCCUGGUCGUACUGGGCUGAGCAAACCCCAUGGCACAGCCGAGCGUGUGGGCUGAGAUGUGGGGCGCGGGGAGAUAUAAUCGGGUUGUGAGCUGCAAGCAGAGAGCAGAUUAAUGCGGAUUUGAACUCCUUGCUGAGGCAAUUGGAGGGGACGUGUUCAGGCGUUUGCAGUGUGUUUGUAUUUGGUAUAAGCUUUCCUCUCCCGCAUAUGCACGUUGGAUUUAAUAGCACAAAUGCAGACCUUUGCCUUCGCCUUUCAGAGGAACAUCUCAUCACCACGGAGGUGUAGUCACUGAUACAGCUCCAUGCAGUCACAAGACCCAGUGCAAUAGAGACAGAACAUAAACAGCAUUUGUAUGCACAUCUGAACGACAGUAAUAAUGCAGGCAGACACAGGCAAAUUCAGCUGAAUUUGUGCCUUCUGAAUAUGCUGUGUUUUUUAGCUCCAUUGUUUUUGGGGUUUUCUUGGGUCAGCCCUAUUGUGCCAUUUUCCUGUAGACCUUCAGAUGCCCUCUCCUUCUCAGUAUGCCCUGUGCUAGAACACUGUAUUCAAGUGGUUAAAUUUCCAUGAUGCAAGUAGAAACAAACCUUAUAAACCUUGUCAGAGGAAGAAGAUUCAGUGGUAUUAGAUGGCAGGGUUUAAAAUGUUUAAAGCCUAAAUGGGGAAAAGAGCUUGCAAGGCUUUUCUCCUACAGGUUGAAGUACCAAAAAGGCAUGGACCUGUGGUUCUGAAACUCCUGCUUAAGGUCCAGCAGGGCCAGACUUCCAGAUGUGGUGUGGCAUGCUCUCUGCUGUGUAUCUGUCUCUCAGGGUGGGCAGGAAGAAAACCAGAGAGGACUAGGCUGCACCUGAUGCUGGCCAAGCCACUAUUUUUUGCUGUCAUCAGAGAGGUCAUCUGGUGCAUUAUUUUAUCUACGUGUUGCUUAGUUUCCAAGUUAUGUAGGAGGCCUAGCAAAUGGAGCUGCUGUAACUGUGACUAGUUUUCAGAAAACAGGAAUGUCGGAGGAAAUGAAUACCCAGUUUGUAGAAGCACUGGAAGACACAGAAAUGUGAAUAGUCUGCCUGGUCCUCAUUACUUCUCUCUCUACUACACUUUACCUGAGAAAUUAUGGGAAAAAAAGAAGAGCUCUUCAGGAAUCAGUCAGGAAGAUCAAAAGACAAACUAAGAUGCCUGAGAAAUAAGGCAGGAACUGAUAUUGUCAGAAAUCCAUCAAAUCACAGUGAAAAACAGAGCAACAUGAAUUGCUGAAUAUUGGCAGAUAAAGAAAGAGAAAAGGCCUGGAUAAUUUCCAUGAAUUAGCCACAGAAGUAGACUCAAAGUGAGAAGGAAAGAGAAGCAUUUAAAGGACAGAGAUAACAUUAUACUGGAGAAUUUGGCGAAAGGAAAAUGUCAGCUCCAAAGCUGGUGCUUCUGGAUAGUAGAAUUAAAAUAAGGCACAUCAGAAAGAUUGACUCAAGAGUGGACCAAGACAGAAACUGAGAUGCUUCAAAAGAAAUGUGGAUAUACUGGGGGGAAAAUAGUGUUUACUGAAAUAACCAUAAUUUAUAAAGAGAAGAAACUUGGAUUAAAGAAUAAUACUCAUAAAAAAAUUACAUACUAAUAAUACCAGCAUUUAGUUCAUGAAUCCUGGAAACUAAAGUAGGAGCCAGUUGGGAGAAAAGGUAAAUAAUGUUAUAUUGUGUGUCUCUACUAUUACUUUAAUCAGCCUGACUUUUAUGUUAAGAACACUUAAGCUAGAAAAACCUGUUCAUCUCCUGUACAAAUAUUAGUAUAAAAUAGAUGUCUCAGAUCAAUACCACAUCCACUAGCCAUUAAACACCUUGUAAUCAAACAAAAUAUUUAGUUUGUUUCAAAGCCAAUCCCAUGCAGUCAAGCUUAUUUCGUGUUUUAUCAACACUAAAGGAUACCCUGUCAUCUCUUAUCUGUCUUCUCAAGGAAAAAGAACUCCUUUUUAAUUAGGUCAUUGCAGUCCUAAUGUGCUGCUGCUCUCAUAUAGAUUCUUCCUGGUAUAUUACAGUGGAUAAAUACAGUAUAGCAUUUAAGGAGGUUUGAUGCUGGCAUGGAUAUAUUAAUAUGCAGGCUGUAGAAGAGGUAGAGAUGACAGACUUUGAUAAUACAAAUUCCUUUCCUGAGUUUUGUCCCAGUUCUGACCAAGCCUAAGGCUGGCAUUUAAGUUAGGGUCAUUUUUACCAAUACUGCCAAGCUAAAUAUUGAUAAUUGAUAUCAAAGGCCUACACUGUAGCCAUUGAAUAAAAUCUGCUUUUCAAGUCUGUCGUCAUUCAGUGCUUAAAAUUCUAACAAAGAUCAAGAGAUGAUCAUCCUAUAUACAUAAUUCUGAGCUAUCCACACCAUAUUCUUUUGUGAGGUAAAGUCAGACAAGAGAAGUGGGAGAGAUUUGAGAGUGAUGUUGGUUGUUGUUCACCUGGAAAAGAGAUGGGUGAUAGUUUUCAGAGAAGAUUCAGUUUGUUUAUAAGUUAAAGGAGUUUAUUGGCAAAAACUAUACAGCUAAUGCAUAAAAAUGUUGUCAAGCAGAAAGUCCAAAAAAUGUUGAAUUAAGCCUCAUUGUAAUUUAGAUUUAUUCUGAUAAAAAUAUAUUAAGACGUAGUUUUAAAACACCUUGUUUAUAAGACUUUAAAUUUUGAAAUAUCACUGUAUGUUUUUGCCCUUAAUACAGUUUAGACUGAAUUUUCAUUAUGUAAUAGUCAUAUUAAAAAAAUUAAUGGAUUCUGAAUUUGGCUCAAUUGCAAUUUUUUGCUAGGAACAAUUACAGAUUCUUCUAAAAGUAAUUAUAAAGAGAGUCGAUUAUUUGUGUGUGUCUGAGGCUGCCUCUGUAAUGUUAUUGUAACUGGACAAAUUAUAUAAUUGAAAGAAAUAGUAUUUUGCUACUGAAGUGCCAUAUAUAUAGUUGCUGUUCAGAGUGACUUUCAGUUUUGUAGCAGCUUCUUGGGACUGGAAUAUUUCUGCUAGAGGUGGAUCCUGAGUAACCUUUUCCUCAGAACCCUUCUUGUGGGGAAAUGUCAGACUGUUGUUGUACAUCACUUGUAAAGAUCAGUCAUGAGGAAGAGAGAGUGAGUUAACGAGGUCAGGGAGUGUAGAGCCGCCUGUGCCCGCCUAUAUCCAAUAAAGGCCCUGUAUUGCACAACUUGCAGUGGUGUUCAGAGCUCUUCCGUUUGCUGCUGUUCUUUCUGCCAACACUAUUGAUCAGUCCUUUGCCUUGUGUGCACUCCAGUCCAAAAUAAAGCUGUUCCUGCCCAGAGGGGCUUUUGCCUUAUCUCAGUCUCCAUUAUUCUGUGCAGCAGAUCAUUGAUAUGAAUUGAUGUUAACCACACCUAGUCUUUUGGGCUAGAGCUGGCUGGAGUUUGGCGUGUAAGUUCCCUGUAAUUUGCCACACAUUUAGGCACAGCUCCCACCCUAGAGGAGUGUGCUAUUUUGACUGACAGGGAGUCUGUGCUAGUGCAGGAUCUCAUGAGUAGCCCCUAGCUGUGGGAGGAAGUGAGCUGGUACAAGCUGAUGAAUCCAGCUAGUCACACCAGCAAUUGGUGUACAUACAGCAAGCACAGCCUGGCUCUACACACAGUGAGAAGCUGCUGUCAUGUGUGAACUAUCCCCAGACUACCUCCAUCUCUCAGCUUCUCAAUGGAUCUGGUACAUGGCUCAUGUCAGUCAAAUAAAGCUUUGCAUUGUUCACCAGUUCCUGGCUCUCGAUCUUAUCAGCUACAGGAGGUCUUUUCAUGUUUUUUCUUCCCUAUCCAAAGCUUUUUAGUCCUUCACACCUCAAAUUGUAUUGUGAAUUCUGCCCAUCACGGUGGAACUAUUAUCAAUAAUGUCUUUAUGAUAAAGCAGUUAAUAUGCUGCAAGGCUUCAUCACAGAUCAGCUUGUUACAUCACCUUAUAAAUUAGCCCAUAUUGGUUGUGAGAAGUCAUCUUCUGUUAAAUAGCCAGGUUUUGUACCUGUCUGGCAGAGAGAUAAGGUACAAGAGCUUGGUAGACAUUUACUUUAGCAGAGAGCUUGAUCCUGUGUUGACCAUAUAGUUACUGUGAAAAUGCAUCAGAAAUUAUGAUUCUUUCCUUUUUUAGGAGAUCAUUUGUGGUCUCCAAUGACAAGGUGGUUUUAAAUUAAGCAAACUCAUUAAUGACUUAAAACUUGGUUCUAUUGAUAGAUACAAAAUGAAAGUUACAUUUUUUUGCGGAGCUUUCUCAUAAACAGUUAGCAAUUUAUUCAGAGGUAUUCAGUAAGUAAAUCAUUAGCAUGAACGCAUCUUAUUAAUCCCUCUGCAAAGGUGAAUGAAAAAAAUUGACUUUUGCAGUCUAAAUUGAGUCUGAGAACCCUUUUUGGAGGUUACAGAUCAUCGUGCCUCAUGGCCUAAGCAAGACAAGCAGGAUGUGCUUCAAGAUGCAUCCUGUUUUAAUGUUCCUUAUAAAAACAAAGUGCUUAAAAGGGCUUGAUUGACCUUUAUUCUACCUUACAUCUCAUCAUGGAGAUACUUCAAAAUUAAGAACUGCUCUAGGCCAGGAGAGACUUUCCAGGAAUCUUGAAAGUCUGGGUUUCUGAUUGCAUCAGAGGUUUUAAUAAACUCAUUAAAGCAAUGUAAAUGUCUUAAGUUUUACUUCUUCCUUUUCCUGUCUUCUAUGGUGAUAAAUGCUAUAAAAAAAUUCCUAUUGUUUGCCUGAAAACUGCUUUUUGAUUUCGCAAAAUAAGAAUUGGCAGUGUAUGAAUACUGUUAACACUGAUGCUCUAUCACAGAAGUCUUUCAUGUCAUACAACUUGAUCUAGAUUCAGUGACAAACAGCCUUUAAUUCAGUUUGUCAGCAGGUAUGUCUGACUAAGAUAACGAGUCUGAGAAAUACGUGUUUCCUUUCCAAACAGAAGCUGACUGGCCUUAUUACUGCUGGCAAAUCAGCUGGGAUGCUUUCACUUCAUACUGUCAAACCAUCCCUGUAUCAAAUGACAAGCCUCAUCUGCGCUAUUUCUUCAAAUAAAGCACAGUCUCUCUGACUUUGCACAGUCAACCUCACUAGCUAUUUUUAUUCAGCACAGCAGCUAUGGCAGUUGCCCUUCAGCAUUACUUUGCAUUCUGGAAGAAGGUUUCAUAAUUUUUUCCUCUGUGCUUAGAAGUUUCAGAUGGUAGCUGUAACUGACUGCAAUAACGCUUGGUUUGACCACAGGAAAAGAAACAAGUAUUAAGCAGACACAGCAUGUGAUGUCUUUCAGGAAAACACGCAAUUUUUAGAAGUUUACCUAGUAAUCUUAAUUCCCAGUUGCGAGUUAUCUGUACAAGCACAGAAGAGCACUGUUGCCUUUUUAUGAUUUUUUUUUUUACAGCACCCUGUAUUCUAGGCUGGCUGUACACAGCUUUAUCCUCACAUUACCACCCUUCUGCCUGCAUACUUUUCUACAGGAUUUGCUCCCAGCACUGGCAACUGCAGGACAUCACUUACAUUGAAAGAGCUAUAACAGCUUAUACAGCACCAUCAUGGAUCUUUUUCUGGGUCAAUACAUGACUGUGCUAAGUGUCUCCACUUCUGUGAACUUAUUAUUUAGAGGUUUUCACCGUUUUUGUAACCCAAAAUUUGCAUGUUAAAAUUAAACUUAUUCAAAAAAUGUCAGCUGUGAAUUCUGAAAAAGCCACAUACAUAGUUUAACUGGUCAGCCAAGCCUGUUUCCCAGGGAAUUGCUGACAGACAAAAUCAUGACUACCAAAAUCAUGUUCUUGGUAAAAUCAGCUUUUGUAAGCAACUCUUUCUCCUCUAAAUUCUGGCAAUAAGAUGUAAUUAAUUUCUAUGUCUAAAUUCAGUUUGACUUCCAUUCAUUGAAGAAUAUUCAGCUCAAAACAAGUGGUAGGAAAUAGGUUACAUCCUGCUGCCAGUCCAAUAUAGAAUGCCAUUUAGAAUUUAAAGGCAAACGUCAUUUAUGCAAUGCUCUGAUGAAAAAGAAGUGCUACCUGUAAUAGCAGACAAUUUGGUACACAAUGUACAGUUAUUUGUACAUUUUGAAAAGCUUUUUACAAUGAGCUGUAUAAUCAAACCAGUUUUGUGUUGUAUAUCAGUCCUGGGAAAAUACUAAUCCAAUCAGAAUCCUUAAGGCUGACUAAUGCUAAUGCUUACUGAAUAGAAGUUUUCACAGUUGCA